Small nucleolar RNA from Vulpes vulpes (red fox), 154 nucleotides. The record is from Ensembl. NCBI's taxonomy places the organism in Eukaryota, Metazoa, Chordata, Mammalia, Carnivora, Canidae.
ACUGCACACUGUUAGAGCUUGGGGUUGAGGCUGCUGGCUGGUCUACGAACUCAAAAGCGUAGGUAGUGUGCUACGUGAGGGUUAAGUCCUUUGCUAACACCACAAAGGUCUCUGGCUCAAUGAGUGGAGUUUGAUGGUAAUUCUUGCUACCAGU